ACUGUGGACUGCACAACAAAUUGUUAGUAGUAUAUGAAUUUAUUAAUUACAAAAGCAUGCAGGAUGAAGCAGUAA
Molecule: non-coding RNA, 75 nt
Filed under: unclassified sequences
Description: RAGATH-18 RNA
Rfam family: RAGATH-18 RNA
About the family: Actinobacteria, Firmicutes, Fusobacteria, Thermotogae (1 example).
Source: Rfam by way of RNAcentral